GACGAACGCUGGCGGCGCGCCUAACACAUGCGAGUCGAACGAGCGAGCGAGAGCUUGCUUUCUCAAGCGAGUGGCGAACGGGUGAGUAACGCGUGAGGAACCUGCCUCAAAGAGGGGGACAACAGUUGGAAACGACUGCUAAUACCGCAUAAGCCCACAGGUCGGCAUCGACCAGAGGGAAAAGGAGCAAUCCGCUUUGAGAUGGCCUCGCGUCCGAUUAGCUAGUUGGUGAGGUAACGGCCCACCAAGGCAACGAUCGGUAGCCGGACUGAGAGGUUGAACGGCCACAUUGGGGCUGAGACACGGCCCAGACUCCUACGGGAGGCAGCAGUGGGGAAUAUUGCACAAUGGGGGCAACCCUGAUGCAGCGACGCCGCGUGGAGGAAGAAGGUCUUCGGAUUGUAAACUCCUGUUGUUGAGGAAGAUAAUGACGGUACUCAACAAGGAAGUGACGGCUAACUACGUG
This 466-nucleotide ribosomal RNA is filed under the name uncultured bacterium. Its description in RNAcentral is "partial 16S ribosomal RNA". It matches the Rfam family "Bacterial small subunit ribosomal RNA", at positions 28 to 507 of the family's 1533-position model. The record is from RNAcentral.